Molecule: ribosomal RNA, 483 nt
Filed under: Streptococcus anginosus
Lineage: Bacteria; Bacillati; Bacillota; Bacilli; Lactobacillales; Streptococcaceae
Description: bacterial SSU rRNA
Rfam family: Bacterial small subunit ribosomal RNA
Source: RNAcentral
GACGAACGCGGGCGGCGUGCCUAAUACAUGCAAGUAGGACGCACAGCCUAUACCGUAGCUUGCUACACCAUAGGCUGUGAGUUGCGAACGGGUGAGUAACGCGUAGGUAACCUGCCUAUUAGAGGGGGAUAACUAUUGGAAACGAUAGCUAAUACCGCAUAACAGUAUGUAACACAUGUUAGAUGCUUGAAAGAUGCAAUUGCAUCGCUAGUAGAUGGACCUGCGUUGUAUUAGCUAGUAGGUAGGGUAAUGGCCUACCUAGGCAACGAUACAUAGCUGACCUGAGAGGGUGAUCGGCCACACUGGGACUGAGACACGGCCCAGACUCCUACGGGAGGCAGCAGUAGGGAAUCUUCGGCAAUGGGGGGAACCCUGACCGAGCAACGCCGCGUGAGUGAAGGAGGUUUUCGGAUCGUAAAGCUCUGUUGUUAAGGAAGAACGAGUGUGAGAAUGGAAAGUUCAUACUGUGACGGACUAACCAGA